UCAGUCCGGAGGGGCAACUCCGGCGUUCGGGACUCCGGCGAGGACCGAUGGUAGGUGGACCGGCGCCGGGCGAACAGGCGACAGCAGCAGGUCGCGGGUGGUGCGCUGCAGGCGUCGGACGAGCGAGCAGGAACGAACGGCAGGCGAAACUCGACUGCUGCAGGGCGUCCCUGGCGGAGCUCGGGCACUGGAUCAGCUGAAGCGGAUCACCGGCGAAGGUAGGGCAGCGGACGUACGUACGGUGGCUCGGCGUUCGAAUCUGGAGCAGCGGAAGGCGAAGAAUGCAGGGGCGUCGGGUCGCAGCUGCUGGGGCGAAGAUCGACGGCUGAGCAGCAGCGGUGUGAGCUCCUGUGGCGUCGGGUCGCAGCAGGGACAGAGGCGUGGCAGGGAGGCUCACGGGCUUCUGCAGGUCGUGUUCGGUGGGGGUUGCAGCAGGAGGAUCAGCAGCAGGUCGAACGGAGGCGUGGCUCUUCGUGGUCCCGGGAGUGGCGGUGAUGCUCGGGGUUCCAGCGACUGCAAGUCAGCAACUGCGGCGGUGCGACAGCGGGCGCGGCGACGGGCAGGACUCAGUGACUGGUACUGCAGCUUGCGGGCGACGCUCGUGGGUUCGAGAUGUAGGAGGCGGGCGAGCGAAGGCCCGGAACUACAGCGGCACCGGCGUUCGGAACUCGCCGGAAGGAGGGAGUCGGCGGCAGCAGGCGUUGGUGGCGGGCAGGGUGCUACGACAGGGGCUCGGAACUCUGGCGAUGGGCGUUGCAGGGACAAGUGGAGGUCGUCGGGCGCUGGGUUGCAGGAAGAGCACGGCGAGCUGCUGUGGCACCGGUGCUCGGGCGGAGGGUUGCAGACGGCGGCUCGUGGAGGAAGCGUGGUGACGAACUGCUGGUCGCUCAGGUGAAGGGGGAGCUCGGACGGUUGCAGGGUUCCACGAAGCUACUG
This 936-nucleotide long non-coding RNA is filed under the name Eucalyptus grandis. Its description in RNAcentral is "long non-coding RNA (EGRA_LNC002286)". The record is from RNAcentral. Lineage: Eukaryota; Viridiplantae; Streptophyta; Magnoliopsida; Myrtales; Myrtaceae.